This 429-nucleotide ribosomal RNA is filed under the name bacterium. Its description in RNAcentral is "partial 16S ribosomal RNA". It matches the Rfam family "Bacterial small subunit ribosomal RNA", at positions 355 to 776 of the family's 1533-position model. The record is from RNAcentral.
UAGGGAAUCUUCCACAAUGGACGCAAGUCUGAUGGAGCAACGCCGCGUGAGUGAAGAAGGUUUUCGGAUCGUAAAGCUCUGUUGUUGGUGAAGAAGGAUAGAGGCAGUAACUGGUCUUUAUUUGACGGUAAUCAACCAGAAAGUCACGGCUAACUACGUGCCAGCAGCCGCGGUAAUACGUAGGUGGCAAGCGUUGUCCGGAUUUAUUGGGCGUAAAGCGAGCGCAGGCGGAAUGAUAAAUCUGAUGUGAAAGCCCACGGCUCAACCGUGGAACUGCAUCGGAAACUGUCAUUCUUGAGUGCAGAAGAGGAGAGUGGAAUUCCAUGUGUAGCGGUGGAAUGCGUAGAUAUAUGGAAGAACACCAGUGGCGAAGGCGGCUCUCUGGUCUGCAACUGACGCUGAGGCUCGAAAGCAUGGGUAGCGAACAGG